UGGGGAAUAUUGCGCAAUGGGCGAAAGCCUGACGCAGCGACGCCGCGUGAGGGAUGAAGGCCUUCGGGUCGUAAACCUCUGUCAGGAGGGAAGAACCGCGAGUAUGCGAAUAGUGUGCUCGUCUGACGGUACCUCCAAAGGAAGCACCGGCUAACUCCGUGCCAGCAGCCGCGGUAAUACGGAGGGUGCGAGCGUUAAUCGGAAUCACUGGGCGUAAAGCGCACGUAGGCGGCUUUGCAAGUCGGGGGUGAAAUCCCACCGCUCAACGGUGGAACUGCCUUCGAAACUGCAAGGCUUGAGUGUCGGAGAGGGUGGCGGAAUUCCAGGUGUAGGAGUGAAAUCCGUAGAUAUCUGGAGGAACACCGGUGGCGAAGGCGGCCACCUGGACGACAACUGACGCUGAGGUGCGAAAGCGUGGGUAGCAAACA
This 428-nucleotide ribosomal RNA is filed under the name uncultured Desulfovibrionaceae bacterium. RNAcentral's name for it is "partial 16S ribosomal RNA". It matches the Rfam family "Bacterial small subunit ribosomal RNA", at positions 355 to 774 of the family's 1533-position model. Lineage: Bacteria; Pseudomonadati; Thermodesulfobacteriota; Desulfovibrionia; Desulfovibrionales; Desulfovibrionaceae. The record is from RNAcentral.